This 829-nucleotide ribosomal RNA is filed under the name actinobacterium SCGC AAA003-N08. RNAcentral's name for it is "SSU rRNA". It matches the Rfam family "Bacterial small subunit ribosomal RNA", at positions 49 to 895 of the family's 1533-position model. Lineage: Bacteria; Bacillati; Actinomycetota; Actinomycetes. The record is from RNAcentral.
UAACCAUGCAGUCGACGCACUCGACCUUCGGGUCACAUGAGUGAGUGGCGAACGGGUGAGUAACACGUGAGAAACCUGCCCCGAAGACUGGAAUAACCCGAGGAAACUCGGGCUAAUACCGGAUAUCCCCACCAGGUCGCAUGGCCAGGUGAGGAAAUGCUCAGGCGCUUCGGGAGGGUCUCGCGGCCUAUCAGCUAGUUGGUGAGGUAACGGCUCACCAAGGCAACGACGGGUAGCUGGUCUGAGAGGACGAUCAGCCACACUGGGACUGAGACACGGCCCAGACUCCUACGGGAGGCAGCAGUGGGGAAUCUUGCGCAAUGGGCGAAAGCCUGACGCAGCCACGCCGCGUGAGGGAUGAAGGCUUUCGGGUUGUAAACCUCUUUCAGCAGGGACGAAAAUGACGGUACCUGCAGAAGAAGCUCCGGCCAACUACGUGCCAGCAGCCGCGGUAACACGUAGGGAGCAAGCGUUGUCCGGAUUUAUUGGGCGUAAAGAGCUCGUAGGCGGUUCGGUAAGUCGGGUGUGAAAACUUGAGGCUCAACCUCAAGAGGCCACUCGAUACUGCUGUGACUGGAGUCCGGUAGAGGAGUGUGGAAUUCCUGGUGUAGCGGUGAAAUGCGCAGAUAUCAGGAGGAACACCGACAGCGAAGGCAGCACUCUGGGCCGGUACUGACGCUGAGGAGCGAAAGCAUGGGGAGCGAACAGGAUUAGAUACCCUGGUAGUCCAUGCCGUAAACGUUGGGCACUAGGUGUGGGGUCUAGCUAACAGAUUCCGUGCCGCAGCUAACGCAUUAAGUGCCCCGCCUGGGGAGUACGGCCGCAGGCU